RNAcentral lists this small nuclear RNA (19 nucleotides) under Arabidopsis thaliana (thale cress). RNAcentral describes it as "snRNA_08222". The record is from RNAcentral. Lineage: Eukaryota; Viridiplantae; Streptophyta; Magnoliopsida; Brassicales; Brassicaceae.
UGGAGAAGUAUAGGAGACU